RNAcentral lists this ribosomal RNA (407 nucleotides) under uncultured bacterium. RNAcentral describes it as "bacterial SSU rRNA". It matches the Rfam family "Bacterial small subunit ribosomal RNA", at positions 355 to 774 of the family's 1533-position model. RNAcentral also lists the same sequence under 1 other name. The record is from RNAcentral.
UGGGGAAUAUUGCGCAAUGGACGAAAGUCUGACGCAGCAACGCCGCGUGAGGGAUGACGGCCUUCGGGUUGUAAACCUCUUUCAGCAGGGACGAAGCGAGAGUGACGGUACCUGCAGAAGAAGGACCGGCCAACUACGUGCCAGCAGCCGCGGUAAUACGUAGGGUCCGAGCGUUGUCCGGAAUUAUUGGGCGUAAAGGGCUCGUAGGCGGUUCGUCACGUCGGGAGUGAAAACUCGGAGCUUAACUCCGAGCCUGCUUCCGAUACGGGCAGACUAGAGGUAGGCAGGGGAGAGCGGAACUCCUGGUGUAGCGGUGGAAUGCGCAGAUAUCAGGAAGAACACCGGUGGCGAAGGCGGCUCUCUGGGCCUUACCUGACGCUGAGGAGCGAAAGCGUGGGUAGCGAACA